This 63-nucleotide transfer RNA is filed under the name Rattus norvegicus (Norway rat). It matches the Rfam family "tRNA". From Rfam's summary of the family: Transfer RNA (tRNA) molecules are approximately 80 nucleotides in length. The record is from Rfam by way of RNAcentral. Lineage: Eukaryota; Metazoa; Chordata; Mammalia; Rodentia; Muridae.
GGGGAUCUAGCUCAGCGGUAGAGCGCUUGCCUAGCAAGCGCAAGGCCCUGGGUUCGGUCCCCA